GGAAGCUUGCUUCCUAUGGACUCUAGUGGCAAACGGGUGAGUAACGCGUAAGCAACCUGCCCUCCGGAUGGGGACAACAGCUGGAAACGGCUGCUAAUACCGAAUACGUUUUCAUUGCCGCAUGGCAGUGGGAAGAAAGGUGGCCUCUGAACAUGCUACCGCCGGGGGAGGGGCUUGCGUCUGAUUAGCUAGUUGGAGGGGUAACGGCCCACCAAGGCGACGAUCAGUAGCCGGUCUGAGAGGAUGAACGGCCACAUUGGAACUGA
Molecule: ribosomal RNA, 266 nt
Filed under: Megasphaera stantonii
Lineage: Bacteria; Bacillati; Bacillota; Negativicutes; Veillonellales; Veillonellaceae
Description: partial 16S ribosomal RNA
Rfam family: Bacterial small subunit ribosomal RNA
Source: RNAcentral